Molecule: long non-coding RNA, 721 nt
Filed under: Homo sapiens (human)
Lineage: Eukaryota; Metazoa; Chordata; Mammalia; Primates; Hominidae
Description: non-protein coding lnc-RIMS3-7:1
Source: RNAcentral
CAACUCGACUUGGAAGCAAUCCAACAGAGCAGCUGUUGUGGCUAGUGGAGGUUCCCAAAUACCUGUCAUGAGUGGUCUGAAGCUUCUGGAAGUAGUGAAGUAGGGAAGCUGCAGACUGCCAAGAAUCAGAGAAAGUCUGAGCUGUCAUUUACUUUGAAUGAGGAACUUAAAAACAUUCACAAUAUUGGUGGACAACCCACCCAUCAGCACACCUAGGGUGCCUCAGUUUCUUGUGCAAGGGCUCAGAGGGCAGAUGCUCACAGUGUUGACUAAGCGUGCACCGAGUAAGCUCUCACUGGAAGGAACAGUGGUACAGUGAGAGGAAUGCCAACCAGCUGCAAAUUAAAACUACAUGAGACUGAAGAGAAUGCAAACACAGGAAUCUGCCAAACCUGCCAAAACCCUGCAGAAACCGGACAAGGUUGUCACAGCUGGUUAUAAACCUGUUGCUAAUCAUCAGUGUAAUAUUGCAUAUGAGAAGAAAAAGAAAGAAGAGGGAAAGAGGGUGCAGGCUGAUAAAGACCACGUUUUAUCCUUGCUAUUUGCUGCCUUCGAGAAACACCAGUGUUACAACAUAAAGGAUGUGGUUGGCAUCACAAUGCAACCUGUGUGUGCCUCAAGGAAAUCUUGAAUGAGACGGGUGUUUGAAAUGUCAGUGGUCCCCACAAAAGCACAUGGAGCUGAAGGCAGAGACUGACAUUAUCCGGCAGCAGCCAAGAGU